Molecule: long non-coding RNA, 1152 nt
Filed under: Phascolarctos cinereus (koala)
Lineage: Eukaryota; Metazoa; Chordata; Mammalia; Diprotodontia; Phascolarctidae
Description: lncRNA (ENSPCIG00000031072.1)
Source: RNAcentral
AUGACUGUCCAGUUUUGUUGUUUUGUUUUUUCCCCCUGGUCUCCCCCUUCCUGCAACCACCUUUCCACAAAAAACUCCAACCCGGCAAGGACAAUUUCCUUGCUCUGCUCUUUUUUGUUUUCUGACUUAAAAACUACAAAAGUACUCUUCUUCCUCCGCACCCGCAUAUCACCUCCCCGUUCCCCCCACCCCACCAACAAAAAUAAGCCCGAGAACACUGAAGUGGGGAGCUUCCGAGAAAGUCCAAGAGUUGUUCGCCUCCUCCCCCCGUCCUCAGCAAUUCCCCCAACGACCACGGGCACGUCCCAGAGGCGCCUGGGCCGCCCACCCCCUCCAGGCCGGAGGCGGCCGACGCUGCCCAACUCUUCGCUGCCCUCUCCAGCGAGUCCCGGGUCUCGAGCUUCCCGGGUUCUCCCCGCAUUCAGCUCGUUUCCCCCUCCCCCCCCCGGGCCUCUCCCCUCCCCCUCUCCCUCUCCAGCUCACACUUUUCCUCCAGCCUCGCCCUUUCCCCAACCGACGCCGGCCGAAGGCAACUCCCUCCCCCACGGCCAACUCUCUCCUCGGGCCCCCCCCUCGCCCCCAGCCCCUCCCCAGCCUGGCUCCUCUCACUCCUGCUCGGCCUCUGCCCCACAUGCCCCCUCGGCCUCCCCUGGCGUUUAUUUCGGCUCAGCUCCUCCCCUUCCCCUUCGCCUUCUCCCCUACCUCUUUCCCGGUCUCCGCCCCGCCCCGGACCCACGGUUGCCCCCUCCCCCCCUUCGCCUCACCUCACCUCGCGGCGCCCCGACCCGUCUCCGCCCCUCCCCUCUCCUCUCCUCUCUUCCCCUCCCCUCCCCUCGGCUCCCCCGGGUUGGGCCCGUAGUCGCCACUUCCCCUUCCCCACCCCCAGGGCCCACCGCCUCCCAGCCCCGCCCCUCUCCGUUCCCCGUCCCGGGCCUCACUCUCGGCUCAGACUCGGCGCCGCCAUGUUGGGUCCAUCGGCUCCGCUCUCCCGGGCCCCGUCUCGCUGAGCAGCAUCCGGGCCCUCAGCGCUGCUGCUGCCGCUGCUGCCGCUGCCGCUGUCGUCGCCGCCGCCGCCGCCGCCGCCGCCGCGCCGGCGUGAAGAAGGGGGAGGGCGGGCGGGGGUGGCUUCAUCCGGGAAACCGCGGCCUGUAA